RNAcentral lists this transfer RNA (83 nucleotides) under Propionibacterium acidifaciens. Its description in RNAcentral is "tRNA-Ser(tga)". It matches the Rfam family "tRNA". Rfam says of the family: Transfer RNA (tRNA) molecules are approximately 80 nucleotides in length. Their secondary structure includes four short double-helical elements and three loops (D, anti-codon, and T loops). Lineage: Bacteria; Bacillati; Actinomycetota; Actinomycetes; Propionibacteriales; Propionibacteriaceae. The record is from RNAcentral.
GGCGAGGUCGCACAGUGGACUAGUGCAGCCGCCUUGAAAGCGGCCGAGCGAGAGCUCCGUGGGUUCGAAUCCCACCCUCGCCG